CACCAGCUCUUGAGAAGCUCUGGGACUCCACACGGCAUGAGGAGGACACGGGUUACGAAAGAGGCCCAGGACGUGGUCCCAGCCCACAAGGAGCUAGGCCCCUAGAGAGGACACUCAGGGAUGCUUGCCAAGAAAGCAAGUGAACAGCAGGUUGGAAAAUCUGAAAACAAACUUGUCAACAAGGUUAAGGCAGGGAAACAGUCAAGAAAAGGUCAAUAUCGCCUUCCAGUUGUUAGAACCCCAUUUCACCUUGCAAGGAAAAUGUUGAAAAACUUCACGUUAAGAUUGGUGGCAGUGGUGUGACUGAAAGAGACUUCCGGUGGCAUUUGGGGACAAUGAGAAACACAGUGGUGGUACCUACAAACUCCCUUCUGAAUUCACUGUCUUUCUCCCCAUUUCCGAGGGCUGUGGAUUGUUCCUGCAUAGACGAGACCCACCCGCGCUCAAACACCCAGCCAGAGAAGCCACAAAACAAUCUCCGUUGUCCUUGGAAGAAAGCCCGCCCUACCCACUAGGAGGGAGGGAGCCUCUCCUCCCUCGGGGAACACGCUGGAUCGAGGCGGACGGACCUCGGGACGCCACGCUGCAGGGGUCAACGAGGAACUGUCAAGUUAGGUUCGCCUGUGGAUUUUAUAAUAAAUACCCCCUCCCCCAUUUUAGGCAUCAACAUAGAACGCCUUUUGAUUUCCUAAUAAUAUGAAAAUAGACAAGUUUCCAAAGAGUUAAAUGUUUAUUCCAAAAAUAAGAGUCUCAGAAUAAAGGACAAUCCUUUAUCUUAAGUAUGUAGUUUUAUGAAAAACUCACUCAACUGUCUUACUUUUCUUCCCCCCCACCCCCCAAGAUCCACUAACAACCUGGGGCAGAGCUGAGCCCCGUGUUUGGGAACCCCUAGUGUGACUUGUCACCCAGCCCUCGGCUCAGGUCUGAAUUCUCCGGUUAACGACAGCAGCGACUUGGGGCCGGAGGCGGCUCCUGGCGGGGCGAUUCUCCGCGUUAGCUCGCCUCCCACACGGGAGCCGGCCGCUGACCCCCGGUUCUGCUCCUUGCACGUGGGGGCCGGUCCCCGGCGGCUCGGAGGAGGGCCGGACCUCCGCGGGGAGAGCCAGGGCGGGGACAACGACGCGAGGGCGCGGGGGCCACCUCCUCGGCGCGCCGACCUGGGGCGCGGGCGGCACGGGCCCCGAGCCACGGGCCCCGCGGGCUUCCUGUUCGCGGACGGCGCCACCGAGGCCCGGGACGUGCAGUCUGCCGGGCCGCCGCGCGCUCCUUCGGCGAGCGCCUUUUGGGGAAACCAGGAGAGGGGCCGUCGUUCCAGAAGGCGGGGCCCACGGCGGCCUCGCCCGGUCCUCGCCGCCACCGCCCCCUCCUUAGGCCCGUGGGCUCCUUCCACGGCCUCCGCUCCAAACCCGGUCCGAGAUCUGCCGGGCAACAGGCCUGCCGCCGCCUGGCCGCGGGGUAGGGCCCGCUCUUGGGGCGCACGCGCAGCGGGCCACCAACGCCACAUUCCGGCCUCCAGC
RNAcentral lists this long non-coding RNA (1517 nucleotides) under Equus asinus (donkey). RNAcentral describes it as "lncRNA (ENSEASG00005026624.1)". The record is from RNAcentral. Lineage: Eukaryota; Metazoa; Chordata; Mammalia; Perissodactyla; Equidae.